This 331-nucleotide ribosomal RNA is filed under the name uncultured eukaryote. Its description in RNAcentral is "partial 18S ribosomal RNA". It matches the Rfam family "Eukaryotic small subunit ribosomal RNA", at positions 1470 to 1796 of the family's 1831-position model. The record is from RNAcentral.
CCCUUAGAUGUUCUGGGCCGCACGCGCGCUACACUGACGAAGUCAGCGAGCAUGUCCUACGCCGACAGGUGCGGGGAAUCUUGUCAAACUUCGUCGUGAUGGGGAUUGAUUUUUGAAAUUCUUGAUCAUAAACGAGGAAUUCCUAGUAAGCGCAAGUCAGCAGCUUGCGUUGAUUACGUCCCUGCCCUUUGUACACACCGCCCGUCGCUACUACCGAUUGAAUGGUUUAGUGAGAUCUUCGGAUUGGCGCCACUGCAGCUCAGCAAUGGGCUUGGUGGAUGCCGGAAAGUUGAUCAAACUUGAUCAUUUAGAGGAAGUAAAAGUCGUAACA